RNAcentral lists this ribosomal RNA (121 nucleotides) under Gemmatimonadota bacterium. RNAcentral's name for it is "partial 16S ribosomal RNA". It matches the Rfam family "Bacterial small subunit ribosomal RNA", at positions 1 to 130 of the family's 1533-position model. Lineage: Bacteria; Pseudomonadati; Gemmatimonadota. The record is from RNAcentral.
CUCUUGGAGAGUUUGAUCCUGGCUCAGGACGAACGCUGGCGGCGUGCUUAACACAUGCAAGUCACGGGGGUGUCGCAAGACACAACCGGCGAACGGGUGCGUAACACGUGAGCGACCUGCC